GUAGGGAAUCUUCCGCAAUGGACGAAAGUCUGACGGAGCAACGCCGCGUGAGUGAUGAAGGCUUUCGGGUCGUAAAACUCUGUUGUUAGGGAAGAACAAGUACGAGAGUAACUGCUCGUACCUUGACGGUACCUAACCAGAAAGCCACGGCUAACUACGUGCCAGCAGCCGCGGUAAUACGUAGGUGGCAAGCGUUAUCCGGAAUUAUUGGGCGUAAAGCGCGCGCAGGCGGUUUCUUAAGUCUGAUGUGAAAGCCCACGGCUCAACCGUGGAGGGUCAUUGGAAACUGGGGAACUUGAGUGCAGAAGAGAAAAGCGGAAUUCCACGUGUAGCGGUGAAAUGCGUAGAGAUGUGGAGGAACACCAGUGGCGAAGGCGGCUUUUUGGUCUGUAACUGACGCUGAGGCGCGAAAGCGUGGGGAGCAAACAGGAUUAGAAACCCCAGUAGUCC
Molecule: ribosomal RNA, 450 nt
Filed under: uncultured bacterium
Lineage: Bacteria
Description: bacterial SSU rRNA
Rfam family: Bacterial small subunit ribosomal RNA
Source: RNAcentral